This 2097-nucleotide small RNA is filed under the name Pan troglodytes (chimpanzee). RNAcentral's name for it is "retained intron". Lineage: Eukaryota; Metazoa; Chordata; Mammalia; Primates; Hominidae. The record is from RNAcentral.
UUUCUGCUUCCCGCUUUCCAGUAGUCCCAUCCCAGCUGUUCGAAUCCACUCUUGUAGCUCCGCCCCUGCCUAGCCCCACGCCCUAUCCCAGCUUAGAGCUCCGUCCACUUUAACCCUGGGCCGGGAACCUGAACCCCUAGUAGGUCCUCGGUGCUCCAACCCCAUGGUCUGGCUGGGCUCUUCCCCAGGGCUCUGUCCCGCUCCUAGCUCCACUCGCCCUGAGCCCCAGCGAGCCUGCGGGGUGACUCGACCCUGGCCCUGCUCUCUCCUCCCGGGUCUGCAGGGAGACGCUCCUGCGGCUUCAGCUGGAGAACAAGCGGCUGUGCAGGCAGGAGGCGGCCGACCGGGAGCGGCAGGAGGAGCUGCAGCGCCACCUGGAGGAUGCCAACCGCGCGCGCCACGGGUUGGAGACGCAGCACCGGUGAGCCCCUGGGGACCUACCUGCGCAGAGCAGGGACAGAGGGGGCCAAAAGUGGGCACAGGCACUAAGCGGCCCCCACCCUCGCAGGCUGAACCAGCAGCAGCUAUCCGAGCUGCGGGCCCAGGUGGAGGACCUGCAGAAAGCCCUGCAGGAGCAGGGGGGCAAGACUGAAGAUGUGAGUGUCACCCACCACCUCCCAGCCUGGCCCUCCCUUGUGUCCCGAAGUAACCCUCCUCUCUCUCCCAUGCUGCCCGAUGCCCCAUACAGGCCAUUGUAAGUACCAUGGGCCCAGGAUGGCACCCCCCUACCCUCACCCUGGGAAGGAAGAAUUAGGGCCUCUCUGGAUCCCCCACUCACCUUGCCUCUUCUCUCUCCCAGUCCAUUUUGCUGAAAAGGAAGCUGGAGGAACAUUUGUAAGUCGCAGAAAGAGGGAACUCCUCGUGGGGGCAUGGAUUUGACAUUAGGGGGGAGUUUCUUAGGCAUGUGCCACCAUGCCUGGCUGAUUUUUUAUAUUUUUAGUAGAGACGGGGUUUCACUAUGUUGGCCAGGCUGGUCUCGGACUCCUGACCCCAGAUGAUCCACCCGCUUUGGCCUCCCAAAGUGCUGGGAUUACAGGCAUGAGCCACCGCGCCUGGCCUUCUUUCUUUUCUUUUACCUGUCUGCUAUUGAAGAGAUUUGUAUUCUAGAAAGAUCCCUGGCUGCUGGAUGGAGUGGUUGAGAGUAGAAGAAGCUAGCAAGGGAAGAUGGUGGCUGAACCAACUUGGGAGCUUUGGGAUGGGAAGAAGUGGACAGCAGAGGGCUGUUCCAGGGUAUACCUGCUAAGGGUGCGGAGGGUUGUGGCUCUGACAGCUGUGGAGCUGGUGGGACCAGGGCACACAGCCCCCAGGCAUGAGGGGCAGGCAGAGAGGGCUCUGUGGCCAUGUAGGGGCAUUUCUGGCUGGCGGGGAGGUCUGUGGCUACCACUGGGACAAAAGAGAAGCCAGCUCGGAGGUCAGCCCACUGCUGCUCAUCCCCGGCCCACAGGCAGAAGCUUCAUGAGGCAGAUCUGGAGUUGCAGAGGAAGCGGGAGUACAUUGAGGAGCUGGAGCCACCCACUGAUAGCAGCACAGCCCGGCGGAUCGAGGAGCUGCAGCAUAACUUGCAGAAGAAGGACGCGGACUUGCGGGCCAUGGAAGAGCGAUACCGCCGCUACGUGGACAAGGCCCGCAUGGUGAGGACGCUGGGUGUUCCCAGAAGUUGCCUGCCCUGGCUUCUUACUUUUUGUGCCUCCUAUUGAGUCAAACCUCCUGCUUGCACAUCUGUGCCCCCAACUCAUACCUGUCAUACCCCACCAUAAGACAGACUUCUGCGUGAUUCCCCACUGCUACUGAUUGUCACAUUAAAAUACUGCACAGCUGGCUGGGUGCUGUGGCUCACGGCUGUAAUCCCAGCACUUUGGGAGGUCAAGGCAGGCAGAACAUGAGGUCAGGAGUUCGAGACCAGCCUGGCCAACAUGGUGAAACCCCAUCUCUACUAAAAAUACAAAAAUUAGCUGGGCAUGGUGGUGGGUGCCUGUAAUCCCAGCUACUCAGGAGGCUGAGGCAGGAAAAUCAUUUGAACCCGGGAGGCGGAGGUUGCAGUUAGCUGAGAUUGUGCCACUGCGCUCCAGCCUACGCGACAGGGCAAGAGUCCAUCUC